This is a small nucleolar RNA of Eptesicus fuscus (big brown bat), 128 nucleotides long. RefSeq annotates it as small nucleolar RNA SNORA43. Lineage: Eukaryota; Metazoa; Chordata; Mammalia; Chiroptera; Vespertilionidae. The transcript has a single exon. The record is from RefSeq and is a predicted model, not a curated record.
CAGGUGCUGGACCUGCAGGCACCACAGCUGCCAUGCUUCAUCUGUGACGUAAGGGCACAGAGGAAGUGGCUAUUUCAACUCCAUGCUCAGAAUAGUAGGCACUAAGAAUGGUUUGUAGCCUGACAUUC